Molecule: long non-coding RNA, 192 nt
Organism: Hyposmocoma kahamanoa
Lineage: Eukaryota; Metazoa; Arthropoda; Insecta; Lepidoptera; Cosmopterigidae
Exons: 3
Source: RefSeq, a predicted model, not a curated record
AGUCUUGCAGAGCGUUUAGUGACAUAAAGUCCUAAAAAUAAUUUAGUUAAAGAAACAAGAUUAAAUCAUGAAGACUUGCUUACUUGGCCUAGUUAUACUUUUUUCGGUCAUUGCAGAUUUUUGUGAUGCAACUAAUGCAAAUACUUGUAGUUUACCACGAGCAAUUGGAUUAUGUCUGGCUUCUAUUCCCAG